GUGCUUGCUUCGGCAGCACAUAUACUAAAAUUGGAACAAUACAGAGAAGAUUGCGCAAAGAUUCGUGAAGCGUUCCCCAAUUUU
RNAcentral lists this small nuclear RNA (84 nucleotides) under Salvator merianae (Argentine black and white tegu). Lineage: Eukaryota; Metazoa; Chordata; Lepidosauria; Squamata; Teiidae. The record is from RNAcentral.